AGAUGGCCUUUAAAUGUCCCUUCCAAGCCAAGCCAUUCUGUGCUGCUGUGCACCAGUAGAGCAGUGCUGGAAUAAUGCUGGGGUGAUGAUGCUGGCACCUGUGUUUUGGUAGUUGUGCCAUUUAGCUGUUGGCCAAGAGAGGAUUGAUGGGCUGCACAGUGAAGUCUGCAAAGAACAGUGUGCUCAAGGAGAAACAGGAGAGGAACAGGGCUUCCAGCUCAGAUAAAUGCCAGCAUUUUGCUGCCCAUUUCUUGUUAAGAAAUAAAGCAAUGUUCUGAAGAUCCCUUCAGUGUGGGUGCACUAUUGGCUGUAUCAGUGCUUGUGUUCUGUAAAACAGGUGAGUUGUUACAGCUUCUUGCCCCAUUUACCACUGGAUAAAACCCAAAUACUGCAUUGCUCCAUGUCUCCUUUCUUCCAAGUAAAGGCAGAUUUUUGUUCAUUCUUCAGUGGGACAUAUUCAUCUGUUGACAAGCAAAUUCUUCUUGCCAUUCACACAAUGUUGAUUUGCUCUAAUCACAUUAUAAUUAAGACCUACCUCUCACUGUAAUUAAGGCUGAUGGAUUGUGAGGCAAAGUGUUGCAUCAUUUUCCCUGGAGAGAGUUUUUCUCUAAUUCAAUGACAUUUGAAGACAGCUGUAGCCUACCAUACUUCUGGCAUACUAGAAAUGAAAAAACAGCCAUGGAAACAGGCUGUUCUAUCCUUUCCUCCUCCUCCCUGAAGUCUGAGCUCUUCAGCUGCCUCACAAACAUUGUUUUAUUUCACACAGGCAUCCAUCAGGACAGUGGCUGUGAAGCUUGGAACAAUAUGCAGCCGGCACCACAAGACAUGCUCAGAAGAUCUGGGAGAGCAUGAGAAGAGUUUUCUACCAGGGAACACAUGGUUUGAUUAAGUUAAUGGCCACUGUGGCUGGUGGAGCACUUUUCCUGAUGAUGUGCUAUGCUGGAAUCUGGUAUUGCUGGAAGAGAAAACGGAGCACCUCUGCACCUUCAGAACAGCAGCCAAAGACUUUAAUCACCGAGAAGCUGACCUCUCAUCCCCACUCUUCACCUCUGUCUCCCUCUGCUCUGCUGCGGCUCCAUCCCCAUCUUGAGUGCGUCCCAAGACCCACACCUGCAAAGUGAGACCCUCUGCCCCUGAGCCUCCUGGCCCUGGUCCCUGGCCAGGACUGAAAUUGGGCAGCCCCUGUCCACCAGAGCAGGGCUUGGCCUAUGGUUUUUGUUCCAAUAAAGAGAUGGAGAUUUCACCUCAGUGUCUGGAUGGCACCACCAGCAAAGCCCUCAUGGCACCAGCCCCUGCUGAGCUCCAUGUCCAGGAGCAGCCAGGGGUGUCCACAGUGUGGACAGGCAGGAGCCAGGCAGGGGCUGCCAUGACCAGUGGUGGGGCCACGAGGGGCUGGGGGAGCCCAUGCUGAGCGUCCCUGGGCUGUGAGGGCACAUUUCCUUCAGUGGCAUCACCUGGGCCUGCACCUCAUGAGGCACCCAGGGCUAAUUUGGGCUCUCUGCUAAGGUGUGCAGGGAUCCCCCAUGAGGUGUGCAGUGGGGUUAAAUUGAGAGGGUUUUUUCCUCUUCUCAGCACAGCAAAGGGGACACUCUUGGCUGAGGUUUUGCAGAGCUGGGAGGAAGCCUCUUGCGAGCCCUUGGGCCCGGCCUGUGGGCACAGCGGGCAGGCAGAGCCCAUCCCUUGAGGCCAGUCCGGGCUGCUCGGGCCGGGCCGGGCCGGGCCAGGUGAGGGCCCCGGCAGGGAAGGGCCAUGGCCGUGGGCUCUGAUGAGGCUGCCGAGCUUCACCCUGGCCCUGUGCUGCAGCCAAACACACAUUUACAGCCACAGCCAUUCUCUGGGGCACAGGAGGCCCCCAGGGCUAGAACUGAGGCCAUGACUUCUCACCCUGAAGGGAGGCUGGCUCUCUUGGUUUGGAGGGCACAGCUUAGA
Cyanistes caeruleus (blue tit) is the source of this 1929-nucleotide non-coding RNA. The record is from RefSeq and is a predicted model, not a curated record. NCBI's taxonomy places the organism in Eukaryota, Metazoa, Chordata, Aves, Passeriformes, Paridae.